GGUUAAGCUAGAAAGGGCGCACGG
Molecule: ribosomal RNA, 24 nt
Filed under: Geobacillus stearothermophilus
Lineage: Bacteria; Bacillati; Bacillota; Bacilli; Caryophanales; Anoxybacillaceae
Description: partial 23S ribosomal RNA
Source: RNAcentral